Molecule: ribosomal RNA, 927 nt
Filed under: Listeria monocytogenes
Lineage: Bacteria; Bacillati; Bacillota; Bacilli; Caryophanales; Listeriaceae
Description: partial 23S ribosomal RNA
Rfam family: Bacterial large subunit ribosomal RNA
Source: RNAcentral
UUGGUUAAGUUAGAAAGGGCGCACGGUGGAUGCCUUGGCACUAGGAGCCGAAGAAGGACGGGACUAACACCGAUAUGCUUUGGGGAGCUGUACGUAAGCGUUGAUCCAGAGAUUUCCGAAUGGGGGAACCCACUAUCUUUAGUCGGAUAGUAUCCUUACGUGAAUACAUAGCGUGAGGAAGGCAGACCCAGGGAACUGAAACAUCUAAGUACCUGGAGGAAGAGAAAGAAAAAUCGAUUUCCUGAGUAGCGGCGAGCGAAACGGAAAGAGCCCAAACCAAGAAGCUUGCUUCUUGGGGUUGUAGGACACUCUAUACGGAGUUACAAAAGAAAGUUAUAAAUGAAGCGGUCUGGAAAGGCCCGCCAAAGACGGUAACAGCCCGGUAGUUGAAAUGGCUUUCCCUCCAGAGUGGAUCCUGAGUACGGCGGAACACGUGAAAUUCCGUCGGAAUCCGGGAGGACCAUCUCCCAAGGCUAAAUACUCCCUAGUGACCGAUAGUGAACCAGUACCGUGAGGGAAAGGUGAAAAGCACCCCGGAAGGGGAGUGAAACAGUUCCUGAAACCGUGUGCCUACAAGUAGUUAGAGCCCGUUAAUGGGUGAUAGCGUGCCUUUUGUAGAAUGAACCGGCGAGUUACGAUUUGUUGCAAGGUUAAGCGGAAAAAGCGGAGCCGUAGCGAAAGCGAGUCUGAAUAGGGCGCAUAAGUAACAGGUCGUAGACCCGAAACCAGGUGAUCUACCCAUGUCCAGGAUGAAGGUAAGGUAAUACUUACUGGAGGUCCGAACCCACGCACGUUGAAAAGUGCGGGGAUGAGGUGUGGGUAGCGGAGAAAUUCCAAUCGAACUUGGAGAUAGCUGGUUCUCUCCGAAAUAGCUUUAGGGCUAGCCUCGAGGUAAAGAGUCAUGGAGGUAGAGCACUGUUUGGACUA